AAAAUCCGUCGACUUUAGAAAUCGUGAGGGUNCAAGUCCCUCUAUCCCCN
This 50-nucleotide transfer RNA is filed under the name Pasithea caerulea. RNAcentral describes it as "partial tRNA-Leu". Lineage: Eukaryota; Viridiplantae; Streptophyta; Magnoliopsida; Asparagales; Asphodelaceae. The record is from RNAcentral.